GGGCCAGAGUAAGAACCAGGCUAACCCCCCUCUCCUUUGCUGCUGUGAAUGGACUCUUCUACAGGCCGCCUGUAAACCCACUGUACUUUUCAAAAGUAAUAACUCCAUAAGUAUUGGUCGAAUCAAUAUGCAGUUUUCGCCUGUCUGAUCCUUGACCCAAAAUACAUUAGUACUCCAAAAGGCACAGGUUAGUUCUGUCCAGUUUUCAGUUAUAAAGCUGAUACACAUGCACACACGCACACAGAGGCUACUUGGCUUCUAUAAUAUAGAUGUAGAUGAGCUGCCACUGUGACAUGAUGUAAUGGAAAAGUGAAGCCUCUUUUCCAAAUAUCCAGGUUGAGACACAGAGUAGAGCCGUGGAAUAGUUGUGCAGUAGCAGUAGAAGUGUCCAGGUGGCAUUUGACAGAUUUUGACCAGAUUUAACCUCCCUACUUGUCUGGAAAUUGCUGUGAUUUGACCAAAUUAGGGCAUCACAAGGUAAAUUUGAACAUAGGCAAGUAGUACAUGCAGAAGUGAUUUGGAAUACAAUACGCUGAUAAGAAAUUAUUGUGCCUUAAUGAUGCUAAAAUACUAGUAAGCACUAUAGCUCUAAGAGAUUUUCACAUUUUUGCUCUAUAAAUUGCACUAAAUUUGCAAGUACUGCAUCUGUUAGUGAAUGUUGAGGCCUUUAUGUCAUUAAAAGUGGCUUAAUGAGAGGUUGUCAUGGACGUUGAACUUCAUCAUACUGAACAUGAACACUCAUCCUCUCCACAGUAAUAAACUAUUCCCAGUAAUAAUCUUUUCAGGAACAUGGAAUAGGUACUGGUGCAUGCAUGCAGAAUCUGAAGUGUUUGAACGUUUUACAGAAAAACAUACCUUGGUCCAGAACCUGUCAAGACCAAAAAAUUUUCCCUUGACCUGAUGUGUGUUGUGUGUCAUAUUUUACAAGCUGAAAAGAGAGGAUAGAAAAGUUUCUAACAAUGGAGACAUCUGGGAAACUUCUGGACAAAUAAUAAUAAUAUGCAGUAGUUUUCCAACAAAAAUUAGUGUGUGCUGGUGAUUUGGUCAUCCAAUGAGUUUCAGAAAUGCUAGAAAAGAGCACAAGAAAGUGGAGGCAGACAGGGAUGAUCCUUUUCAUUGUGCAUCUACCUCUGUUGAUAACACAUUCAUGACUAUAAUAUUUUUCUCAACCUUGGUGUAAAAGGGGGCUGACUUAAUGGAAAUGUUUCUAGAGAUAGAGUUAAUUUGGUGGGAAGGUCAUACGAUGAAAGAAGAGCUGAGUUUGAAAUCUCACUACAAUAUGUGAGACUAGUGGUGUUGACCUUCAAGUCAUGUGACUGUGGUUUAGUUUAAGAGUUUUAGGGUCUAAUGUUAGUGUUUAGUUUUUACAGGUUGCAUUUAAGGCUCAGAAAUCAUAUUGGUUUCAUUUGUGAAAAUUAUUUAGCCAAACAAAACAUGAGUGAAUUAGACUUUUUAUUUAUUUAUUUAUUUAUUUAUUUAUUUAGCUACUGAGCUUAGUUUCAGUGAUAAUCCAAAAGCCAUUGGAACAAUCCACUUGGCCUUUGCUGCAGGGAACUGGGACAAUACUAGCUUCAAGUUGGGCCUAUAAAAAUACCUCACCCUUCUGUAGUCUCUUAUAGUCAGAUCUAUCUCUACAUUCCAUAAGCUCCACAACUGUAGAUGCAUCUGACACCCUUCACUAUCCUUCUACAGGAAUAGGGGUCCAAGUUAUGUGGGUUGUUUGGUUAGUUCUUGCUAGUUUAGUGCAGGAUCCUGUGACAUUGUCCUGUAUUUUUUUUUUUGUAUCUUGGAAGUUGUGGUUCUUUCGUGCAGAGCUGUGAACUGUCAAAGCAACAAUACACAGAUCACUGAAGGAAGAUGAAUGACAGGCCUGACACUGUACACAGGAUGUACUCACUGUUACUCCAGAGGAAUACUUCCAUCAGACCAGACUAUCCCUGCAGCACCUUAGGACCUUAUUACCUGAAAUCAGCUCAAAAUGACACAGUAAAAUGUAUUGGCUCAUACAUGAGGUUGUCCUGACUACAGACUUGCAUAAGCUUUUACUGUAUGAAGGCAGAUAUUCAAGCUUUCUUUUACAAAGGCAACCUGGUCAAGAGGUCAAGCAGCACGCACUAUACCAUAAUGAAAAACAGUUUAAAAGAUCAGUGAUAUCAAUACAUUUAGAAAUGAAA
This is a long non-coding RNA of Sphaeramia orbicularis (orbiculate cardinalfish), 2174 nucleotides long. RefSeq lists it as uncharacterized. NCBI's taxonomy places the organism in Eukaryota, Metazoa, Chordata, Actinopteri, Kurtiformes, Apogonidae. The transcript has 2 exons. The record is from RefSeq and is a predicted model, not a curated record.